This 469-nucleotide ribosomal RNA is filed under the name uncultured bacterium. Its description in RNAcentral is "partial 16S ribosomal RNA". It matches the Rfam family "Bacterial small subunit ribosomal RNA", at positions 28 to 507 of the family's 1533-position model. The record is from RNAcentral.
GGCGAACGCUGGCGGCGUGCUUAACACAUGCAAGUCGAACGGAAAGGCCCUGCUUGCAGGGUGCUCGAGUGGCGAACGGGUGAGUAACACGUGGGUGAUCUGCCCCUUAUUUUGGGAUAAGCCUGGGAAACUGGGUCUAAUACUGGAUAGGACCAUGCUGUAGGUGGUGUGGUGGAAAGAUUAGUUUCGGUAAGGGAUGAGCUCGCGGCCUAUCAGCUUGUUGGUGGGGUAAUGGCCUACCAAGGCGUCGACGGGUAGCCGGCCUGAGAGGGUGGACGGCCACAUUGGGACUGAGAUACGGCCCAGACUCCUACGGGAGGCAGCAGUGGGGAAUAUUGCACAAUGGGCGCAAGCCUGAUGCAGCGACGCCGCGUGGGGGAUGACGGCCUUCGGGUUGUAAACUCCUUUCAGCCAUGACGAAGCCCUUGUGGUGACGGUAGUGGUAGAAGAAGCACCGGCUAACUACGUG